Non-coding RNA from Arachis ipaensis, 1342 nucleotides. NCBI's taxonomy places the organism in Eukaryota, Viridiplantae, Streptophyta, Magnoliopsida, Fabales, Fabaceae. The record is from RefSeq and is a predicted model, not a curated record.
AACCAUCACCAUCAAUGCAAUACAAUCUGCGAUCUCGUGGUCGUAUAAUCGGCAACCGCCUUUUGAGGUUACGCCAAGGAGUUCCAGUCUAUAAUCAUCACCACUCAUGUCAAAAGCCUUAUAGGCCCUCCGUUAAAAAAGUACAAAAGCCUUGUGGACCCUCAAUACUUAGAGGCACUGAUGAGGAACUAGGAAAUCAAAGGCCACAUCAUUGUAAGAUUAGAAAAGAACAACGGAGACAAAGUAGAUUACGUUUUAUGGAGAAGUAUCGGCCUUAUCCAUUUGUGGCAAUGCAACACUACAACAGAAUGCUAAAAGAGGAAGAACAGUACAAAGUUUAUGAUCGUGGAGAUGGGAUUAUGUCGGCUUACAAAAAAGUUGGUGUUUUUCAUCAACUGCACAUUUUGGGGGUGCCAAAAUCUUUUGAAUACAUGCAGAACUCAUCGGAUGAUGAUGUUCCUGUUAAGCACUUUUAUGCCCGGAUCCAUCAAGCACCCAAAAGGAAUACUCAUGUAGAUUACUGUGAGCCUUUUGAAGGAGAAGGACCUCCAUGAAAAGGUCUUGAUAUUACCCGAGUCGUUCCCUUGUGCUGUAAAUUUUGUGGUCUUGCAAAUGGGCGUGCUAUCAAGUCAAGAUCAUUAGAAUUGAGCGAGCAAGCUAAAGCUAAUGGAGAAGAUUCGGAUUCAGACUACUCGGAUGGUUAUUUGGACCCUGAUCCCCCUAAAAAAGAAAUCAGAGGAGCAUUAGCAGAAUCUAGGAGAAGGCGUUGAACCUACCUUAGAAGACUUUAAGGACCAACGUCCGAUCUUGAAAGCACUUCAGGUUAUAAUGCCAAAAUCUCAAGAAGAACACUACAAAGUUUAUGAUACUAGCGAUGGGAUUAUGACGUCUUUCAAAAAAGUUGGUGAUUUUCAUCUACUGCACUUUUUGGGGGUGCCAAAAUCUUUUGAAUACAUGCCCGAAUCCAUCAAGCACCCAAAAAGAAUACUCAUGUAGAUUACUGUGAGCCUUUUGAAGGAGAAGGACCUCCAUGGAAAGCAAGCAAGCUAAAGCUAAUGGAAAAUAUGAAUCAGAUUUGGAUUCAGACUAUUGGGAUGGUUACUCGGACCCUAAUGCCCCUAAAAAAGAAAUCAAAGAAGCAUUAGCAGAAUUUUGGAGAAGGCGUUGAACCUAUCUUAGAAGACUUUAAGGACCAAUGUCCGAUCUUGACAGCACUUCAGGGUUACAAUGCCAAAAUCUCAAUACGGCACACUCAUUUUUAUCUGGAUCUCUACCGGCCUUAGACUUCUUGAAUAUUCUAUUUUACUUUAUUUUUUUUUUAUGUAGCAUUCGACUUUUUUUA